Molecule: non-coding RNA, 993 nt
Organism: Taeniopygia guttata (zebra finch)
Lineage: Eukaryota; Metazoa; Chordata; Aves; Passeriformes; Estrildidae
Source: RefSeq, a predicted model, not a curated record
AUUGGAUGUAGAAGUGAUCUCACACAGCCACACUGCCUUGACAGAUGGGAUGGAUGGACAGAGAAAUAGUGAAGAAUCUGGAGACAUCACACAGCAGGUAAGGCAGUUCAUUUGCUUUGGUGAAAACUCUUAAAUAAUCUUAAUAGACCAUACAAAAUAUCUUUAAAAUUAUCAAGAAUCCCUUCAGUUGAUCUGCACUCUUUCUGCAUGAUUCUCAUGGACUCAGAUUUUUUUAUUCUUGAUUCUUGAGGACAAACUGAUGUAGUGCAUGAAAAUCUAUUAAUGAAGUCGCUGUGUUGCUCGCUUUGUUCUCCUCUUUCCCUUUUAGCACUUCCUCAGAGCACUGGAUGUGUUCCCACUGCUUUCUCCCCCAUUCCUGUGCAGGAGGAGAAUGGAUAGCACAUCCAGCCUUCAGGUGGCUGCUAAUAUGACAUGUACAACUUCAGACAUUUAUGUGAGCACCCAGAAUAACAGGACAAAGUUGGCGACAACCUGAGGUCAUCUUGCCUAUAAACCACCCAACCACUGCCCUGCAGUUUCUAAGAGUUUUUGCCACUGUGGUGCACAGAAGUGGGAUGGAAACAAAAUACAGAGGCAAUGCCCACCAAAUCUCGGUGGCUGAGGAACUGCUGAACACCUUGAUGGACAGGACUGGGAUACAGAAGAGCUUCUUCUAUAGGAUGUGGCUGGUUUGGCUGAAUAUGAGAGCAGAGGUUUCCCCAGGAUCUUCAGACAUGAGCCUCAAGGUACUGUGAAUUUUGUUUAAAGGAUGAGAUGAAAAAAGAUGUGGAAGACAUGUAAGUGAGAAGAUGUAAAUACAAAAUACAAACAAAGUGCAGGAUAUAAUGUUAAGGGUUUGUAUUUUGUCAAGCUCCAUGCUAAGCAUCACGGUCAGUAACUGCCAUUGGAGGGGGAACACUUGGCCAUCACAAUGCACAGGACUGUGAUGUACAAAGCAACCCUGAUGCAAAUUUACUUAGCAUCAAGUAUUCC